UUAAAAUUGUUGCAGUUAAAACGCUCGUAGUUGAAUUUCAAAGAAUCAAUAUUUUAAGUAAUGCUUUUGGUUUAAGAUGCUUAGGCAAUACAACGUAUCUGCUCUUUGCAUUCCUUAUCCAAAAUGUGUUCUUAUUAUAAAAAGGAUUCUUUUUAAAAUCUCCUUUACUUUCUUGUACAGGAGAUUUUGUUACUUUGAGUAAAUUAGAGUGUUCAAAGCAAACAGUUAAAGCAUUUUACUGCGUUUGAAUACUACAGCAUGGAAUAACAAAAUUGAACAAGUCAAAACUCUGUUCCUUUUUCUUAUUUUGGCUUAGUUACGAUUAAUAGGAGUAGCUUGGGGGCAUUUGUAUUCAGAUGUCAGAGGUGAAAUUCUUAGAUUUUCUGGAGACAAACAACUGCGAAAGCAUUUGCCUAAAAUACUUCCAUUAAUCAAGAACGAAAGUUAAGGGAGUGAAGACGAUCAGAUACCGUCGUAAUCUUAACCAUAAACUAUGCCGACUAGGUUUUGGAUGAAAGAUUUUUAAAUAAGAAAAUUCCUUUUGGAAAUUUCUUAGAUUGCUUCCUUCAGUACCUUAUGAGAAAUCAAAGUCUUUGGGUUCUGGGGCGAGUAUUCGCGCAAGCGAGAAAGUUAAAAGAAUUGACGGAAGGGCACCACCAGGCGUGGAGCUUGCGGCUUAAUUUGACUCAACACGGGGAAACUCACUAGUUUAAGACAAGAGUAGGAUUGACAGAUUAAUAGCUCUUUCUUGAUUUCUUGGAUGGUGAUGCAUGGCCGUUUUUAGUUCGUGAAUAUGAUUUGUCUGGUUAAUUCCGAUAACGAACGAGAUCUUAACCUGCUAAUUAGCGGCGAAUACGUUAUAUUCCUACUUGAAAUUGAAUAUAGCUGAAUUUGCUUAUUUUGAAGAAUACAUUAGGAUACAUUAUAGUGUCCUUUUCCCUUUUCUACUUAAUUUGCUAUUCAUGCUGUUUCUUUUUUGUGUAGGAAUGUAUUCGUUUGAUUGUAAAGCUUCUUAGAGGAACGAUGUGUGUCUAACACAAGGAAGUUUAAGGCAACAACAGG
RNAcentral lists this ribosomal RNA (1062 nucleotides) under Plasmodium ovale (malaria parasite P. ovale). RNAcentral describes it as "SSU rRNA". It matches the Rfam family "Eukaryotic small subunit ribosomal RNA", at positions 604 to 1460 of the family's 1831-position model. Lineage: Eukaryota; Apicomplexa; Aconoidasida; Haemosporida; Plasmodiidae. The record is from RNAcentral.